Molecule: long non-coding RNA, 1348 nt
Organism: Mustela erminea (ermine)
Lineage: Eukaryota; Metazoa; Chordata; Mammalia; Carnivora; Mustelidae
Exons: 3
Source: RefSeq, a predicted model, not a curated record
CCUUCGCUUUGCGUCAGUCUCCGUCCUUUGAUCACGAACGCUAACUCGGUUUUCUUCAGUGAUCAACAGAAACCAUCAGUUGCUAGGGAAUAGUCCUUACUAGGACCGGAGUAAUCCCAAAAAGAUCAGCAGAGAGCAGUGCUCUUUCUUGAAGAAAUGCUGGGAGAGGGUCUGGGUAUGAGAAUGUUAGCAGAGAAACAUGGAAGGGACCAUCUUAGGAUCCACAACCUGGCCACUCCUUGAAAGACAGUCCUCCAGGCCCUGAGGCAAAAAGUGAAUCCUUCACUUGUUAUUCCUCAUUCUCUGGACCAUCAAAGUCCCACAAAUAUCCACAACCUGGCCACUAAUUGGAAGACUAUCCUUCAGAUGAUGAGUCAGAAAGUGAAUAUUCUGAAUCAGAAAAUUCCUAUUACUCCUCAUUCUCUGGUAAGGAGAAAGGAAGGGCAUUUCAAGUCCAGGCAGAUGAGGGUCUGAAUAGAUCUAUAGACAUCCAGCUCAACAUCUCUCCAAAGCCAGAGGGAGAAAGGUACACAUGAGGCCCAGUUAUAAUCUUUUUCUCUGCCCUGAUUUGGGAAUAUGAGGCUCCUGUUCUGUACCCUCAAUAGGAACUCAUUACAAACACUUUUCACAUUUAGUGGGUAGAGAGGAACUGUGUGCCUAUAUUUUGGGGGACAAUAUCAUUUAUUGAGGGAAGAAGGAGAAUUCUUAGACGCGGUGUUCACAAUUGCUGUAGUGUCAGUUCAACUUAAAAGGGGAGAAUAAGUGUAAAAUUAAACCAUAGCUUGUGGUACUCUAGAAAUAGCUGACUGUAGAAUACGUAAAAGCUCCGAAUUGAUAGUCAUCCAUGUUAAGUGUCCUAUGGUAAUGACUUCCUGAACGUGAACUCAGCCUAAAACUACAAAGCACACAAUCUAAGUCAGAUUAUGCAAACACUGAGCAUUUAGGUUUAGCAUCAAAGAAGAUCAUUUAAUUGAACAGUACUAUAGGGAUGGUAGAUAAGAAUGUUUAUAGUUAUUAAAGAUGUAAUGUCAUAAAACACUACCAAGAAAAAAUAUUUAAAAAUUCUAAAGUUUUAGAGGAGAAAAAUAAUGUUCUAGAAAGUAUAAAAAAUGUGGAUGAGUUAAACAUCACAUUCAACACAAGUGAAAAGAAAAUUUAUGACUUGGAAGGAUAGAGCUAGGGAAUUAUGUACAAAUAUAAAUCAGAGAGAUGAAUAGAAUAUGAAAGAGGGAUUAGGAUAAAUGAGGAUAAAAUGUGAAAGUAUGACAUAUCAAACUGAGAUUUGUGAAGAGUAAAAGAAAGUAAGACAAAUAGAUAAUUGCCAAUUUUUCUAAAACAACAGAAGAUA